AGUCGAGCGGGGAAGGUAGCUUGCUACCUGACCUAGCGGCGGACGGGUGAGUAAUGCUUAGGAAUCUGCCUAUUAGUGGGGGACAACAUCUCGAAAGGGAUGCUAAUACCGCAUACGUCCUACGGGAGAAAGCAGGGGACCUUCGGGCCUUGCGCUAAUAGAUGAGCCUAAGUCGGAUUAGCUAGUUGGUGGGGUAAAGGCCUACCAAGGCGACGAUCUGUAGCGGGUCUGAGAGGAUGAUCCGCCACACUGGGACUGAGACACGGCCCAGACUCCUACGGGAGGCAGCAGUGGGGAAUAUUGGACAAUGGGGGGAACCCUGAUCCAGCCAUGCCGCGUGUGUGAAGAAGGCCUUUUGGUUGUAAAGCACUUUAAGCGAGGAGGAGGCUACCGAGAUUAAUACUCUUGGAUAGUGGACGUUACUCGCAGAAUAAGCACCGGCUAACUCUGUGCCAGCAGCCGCGGUAAUACAGAGGGUGCAAGCGUUAAUCGGAUUUACUGGGCGUAAAGCGCGCGUAGGUGGCCAAUUAAGUCAAAUGUGAAAUCCCCGAGCUUAACUUGGGAAUUGCAUUCGAUACUGGUUGGCUAGAGUAUGGGAGAGGAUGGUAGAAUUCCAGGUGUAGCGGUGAAAUGCGUAGAGAUCUGGAGGAAUACCGAUGGCGAAGGCAGCCAUCUGGCCUAAUACUGACACUGAGGUGCGAAAGCAUGGGGAGCAAACAGGAUUAGAUACCCUGGUAGUCCAUGCCGUAAACGAUGUCUACUAGCCGUUGGGGCCUUUGAGGCUUUAGUGGCGCAGCUAACGCGAUAAGUAGACCGCCUGGGGAGUACGGUCGCAAGACUAAAACUCAAUGAAUUGACGGGGGCCCGCAC
RNAcentral lists this ribosomal RNA (870 nucleotides) under uncultured bacterium. RNAcentral describes it as "bacterial SSU rRNA". It matches the Rfam family "Bacterial small subunit ribosomal RNA", at positions 60 to 926 of the family's 1533-position model. The record is from RNAcentral.